This 663-nucleotide long non-coding RNA is filed under the name Limulus polyphemus (Atlantic horseshoe crab). RNAcentral's name for it is "uncharacterized LOC106476520, transcript variant X2". The record is from RNAcentral. Lineage: Eukaryota; Metazoa; Arthropoda; Merostomata; Xiphosura; Limulidae.
UUUUGCAGUUCACGCCACCCAAUUACAGCGAGAAGAUGAUGAACAGCAUCUGGGGGCUUUACAACAGAUUUGCCUCUCAUUCCUUCCAGAAAAACAUAGAAGAAAUAGUUUCCAACUUCGACUUGACUGCUGUCUCUCAAACAAACGGACUUCUGGUGAGAGACAGCUAUAAUUAGGUUUCACUGAACUGAACACACUGCAUGUGAACGUGAAACUAAGAAGUUUGGAAUGUUUUGACGUGACACCUACAUUCUCGGUGCUCAAAGAUCUUCAUUUUAUAAUUAACGUUUCAGGGAUUUGGUUGUUUGCUAUUUUUGUACUCUUUUGUAUAUAUAUAUAUUUAUCUUCAAAAUCUUAACCUCUUUAUUUAUAUAUAAAACAAAAACUUUGCUUAACAGAAUUGGAAACACAUUUGUAUUGUCUACUUCAGAGGUCAGUAAGUAGAAGAAAAAUGAUUUCGUAUCCUAAUUAAUAAUAUCUUUAUACAAUCAGUCCAACUGUAUUAUUCAGAUUACACUCUUAUUAUAAAUCAGUUUAAAUAUACUGUAACACAGUCAGUUUACACCAAACCCACACAGUCAGUUUAAAUAUACAUUAAUACAAUCAGUUUACACCAAACUCAUACAGUUUAAAUAUACAUUAAUACAAUCAGUUUACACCAAA